RNAcentral lists this non-coding RNA (21 nucleotides) under Arabidopsis thaliana (thale cress). Lineage: Eukaryota; Viridiplantae; Streptophyta; Magnoliopsida; Brassicales; Brassicaceae. The record is from RNAcentral.
AGUAUAAAAAGUGUCUAUUCC